UACGUUGCCUCGGCGGAUCAGCCCGCGCCCUGUAAAAAGGGACGGCCCGCCCGAGGACCCUAAACUCUGUUUUUAGUGGAACUUCUGAGUAAAACAAACAAAUAAAUCAAAACUUUCAACAACGGAUCUCUUGGUUCUGGCAUCGAUGAAGAACGCAGCAAAAUGCGAUAAGUAAUGUGAAUUGCAGAAUUCAGUGAAUCAUCGAAUCUUUGAACGCACAUUGCGCCCGCCAGUAUUCUGGCGGGCAUGCCUGUUCGAGCGUCAUUUCAACCCUCAAGCUCAGCUUGGUGUUGGGACUCGCGGUAACCCGCGUUCCCCAAAUCGAUUGGCGGUCACGUCGAGCUUCCAUAGCGUAGUAAUCAUACACCUCGUUACUGGUAAUCGUCGCGGCCACGCCGUAAAACCCCAACUUCUGAAUGUUGACCUCGGAUCAGGUAGGAAUACCCGCUGAACUUAAGCAUAUCAAUAAGCGGAGGAAUAU
RNAcentral lists this ribosomal RNA (481 nucleotides) under Fusarium equiseti. RNAcentral's name for it is "eukaryotic LSU rRNA". The stretch from base 111 to 264 matches the Rfam family "5.8S ribosomal RNA". Lineage: Eukaryota; Fungi; Ascomycota; Sordariomycetes; Hypocreales; Nectriaceae. The record is from RNAcentral.